CUCAGUAGCAGGUAAUCUUUGGGCGGGUGAACUUUCCUCGCGCGCCGCGCGUCCCGUGGCUGGGGCGAGGAGCCCAUUGGACAUAACCGCACCAAACCCUAGCCCCCCCAUCCACAGCCACCCGCUCCUUCACACAGCCGCCGCACCAUUCCUCCCUUCCGCCCCCUCCUCCUUCCCGGAUCCCCACCACGGCGCCGACCUGCAGGCAAAGGGCGAUAGCGGCGGAGCUCAGUUAGAUCUGUAGGAGAGAGAAGAUGAGAGGGAGAGAGAGGAGGGAGAAAGAGAGGAAGAGGAGAGGAGGCACGGCAUCGGAUGGGAGAGUGGCCAACCCGGCUCACGUUGGCUGGGGCCGCACCCCUCCCUGAAGGGCGGCGAUGAUGGAGGGAUCCGCGGCGCCAUCCAGGCUCCCGACCGACGGACUCGCUGGGUCGCGCCCAUCCCGUGCGGCGGGGACAUACAUGGCGGCGCGGGCUGGGGACCAAGCGGCGGGGCCCGUGGUGCAUUCGGUCGAGGGAUUGGUCGGGCCGGUGCGGGAUCUUAGCCACCGUCGAUGGAUUUCUCGCAGCUUGGCUACUUGUUGCUUUGGAUCCGGGAGUGAGUCAAGUGACAUACAGACACAAGAAAUAUUCAGUUAUGAGGAUUGAAGAAAUUAAUGAUCAUUCAGUCAUUGAGGAUUUCAUAAGAGACAUCAAUGUUCCAGUAGAGGUGUUAUUGAAGUUGUGGCUGAAUAGUCCUUUUAUUGAUGCUAAGUAUAUGGGCACCAUAACUCUAAUCCGACAUGAGCAGUCCAACCACGACAGUGAGCAGUGGAACCGCAAGAUAGAGGUAGAUACACGUAGAAUAUAACUAGUCAUAUUUCUAAAAUGAUCACACUACUUAUGGUGCCGGAAGAGAAGGCAUCAGUGAUAGUGGGCUAGGUGAUGAGGGCAUCAAUACAAAGAGAUUAAUUCAUAACUUUGUUCUUGAUAGGUUGUACAAAUAUACAAGGUACUGCUGUUUCCUUUUAUGUUUAAAUAGCUUUGUGAGUACAACUAUAUGAAAAUUCUGCGAUUCAUGGUGCGGAAGCGGGCAUCUUUGUUUUCCUGACCAAAAAUACUUAGUUUCAUGCCUCCACGGUAUAAUUUAGAGGCACAGUCCAAUGAGAGAUUCCUACUUAGCUAGCUAAUAUAUAACAUUUGACGGUAAUGUCUUGUGUUGUAAAUACAAAAUAUGCUACAUGAGCAUUACUUUUAUUUUGAAUUUAAUUUUGUGUUUGAGCCUCUUUUACAUAUUAAGUGUAAUAUCACAGACUUUCUUCUUUCAGGGUUAACUGGCCAUGCAAAAACUGUUGUGAGGCAUUAAAUGGUACUAUAUGUUUUUGGCCUGCUUUUGUUCACUUUUGUCCUUUCCAAAGUGUAAUAGGAAGAGAAAGUCAAAAUAGGCUCAACCAUGACUAGUCUGCUCUUGUGAUCACCAAUUUCUGCUCCAUUGCGCACAAGAAAGUAGUGACUAUUUAUUUGCUUAAACAAUAUGUCCAACCACCAAUUUCUGCCUGUCCUGCUAAUAUUCCUUUAUGGAUGUAUCGCACAAAUUUUAGUUAUUGGAUAUGAAAUGUAGGUUCUCUACUCAGAACUGGGUCCAAUGGUCAAUGCAGCUCUAUGUUGUGCUAUCUUGCUAUUGGGCUCUUUUUUCGUUACUUAAAAUGGUCAGAUAUCUCUGAUGUUAAAUUCGUGGUUGAUUGCUUAUAUCCAAAAUAACUAUGUUAGUACACUGAAGCCAAUUUCUACAUUGUUAGUGAAGUUGGCUAAAUAGUUUUUGCGCCACUAAGAUAUAUAUGUGCACUGCAUUCUAACCCUGCAAAUUCUUGUGCUAUUAGUUUAAUCCGAAAUAUAAUUAUGUUUGUGUCUCGACAUAUGCUUGUGAUGCGUCGUGCUACCAGAGGCCAACAUUAUCCAGUAUCAUAGUGACGCUAAAAAUGCCUAUUGGUUACUCCGCAUAUUCUCAUCUGAUUUCUCAUAUAUAGAUAUUAAUUUCCUUUCAUGGGAGGCCUUCAUUACAUUUCAGCGGCAGUUGCGGUUGAGGGAGGGUCUCUGACUAGAGCAGCAGGAGCAAGGAGCUCAAGGAGGUUCAGGUUUGCCUCUACAUCCUCUCUCUUUCCUCCACUUUGUUCUUGCAUUUAGAGGAUACAACUUGUGAUCAUGUUAUAUUCUGCUUUUGUCAGUUUGCUGGUCCAUAUUAAUUUCCUCGAGCUUAUUUUCACAUCUCGUCAUAUUUACACCUCUCCGCCGACUGCCACCUAUCAUGGAGGGAGAUGGCUUGGCCAGGCCGUCAACACCCAUCGGCAACUUCCGGCAGGCGCCGUCCGUACUUCUGCAUGUAAACUGAAUUGAUUUACCAGUAAAAAUCUGGACAACUCAUUCCAGUCGAUAAUAACCAUUGUGGCAUUACCAUGAUAUGUCAUGUAUCUGCUCUGAGUUGUACUAUGUUGCAAAAAGUACAAUAAGAGAUAGAAUGUAUGCACUAUGGCUAGCAGUAACUUUUUUUUGACUUGUACAACAUUUGAUCUAUCUAUUUCUGCAGGCUAUUCCUCUUGUUGCAACCUUUUCCCCUAGAAUCAAAAGGAAUUAGAUUGAAGAAAUUGCAGGAGGUACUACUGCGUGUUCCAUUAGUCUUACUUUUGGAGGCUUGUCUAUAUAUAGUCUUAGUGUCAGUGUGUCAAUAGUAGUAUUAGUUUUGGAGGCUUGUCUAUAUUCAUCUUAUUUUUUGGAUUACGUUUCUUUCCACCUGCAUCCUCUCUUCAUAAUGGAUUACGUUUCUUUGUUAUUGCCAUGUGUUACUUUUUCUUAUGACUGUGACCGUCAGUGCCCUUAACAGUGGUUGUUCUUGCUUUAUGACUGCCUUCUCAGUGCACUUUUAUUAGUUCUAAUACAUUAAUAUAAUAUGCUCGAUUGACCAUAUUAAUUAUAUAUUUCACUUCACCGGGGCUGUUGGUCGAAGUGUUGGUUAAAAUAUUUUGGUGGUAGUGUAUAAAAUUAAUUGUUGUACAGCAUUGUUAAGUGCACUUUUGAGCUUUGAGUAGACAACUGUGGUCAUAAUUACCUUAAAGGAUUGUUAGUAUGUAUUAUUGUUGGAUUUCCAUGUUCGGUUAUUCACACUAUAUUAUUGCUUGAUUCUGAUAGCUUGCUAUUAUUAGAGCGGGAAGGGUAUUCCUGGUGUCACAUUCAAAAGCGGUCAAAACGGUGAGGUUUACGGAGGAGCUCCGUGGAAUUAUCGAUAAAAAAUUAUCCAUAACAUGUCUGUCAUUGCUCAUGUCGACCACGGUAUGUGACCGAGCAGUGACAGUUGUCUCUAAUUAUCAAUUUUAUAUAGAGUCUUCUUGAUUGAUGAUUUUGUAGCCUUCUCUUAGUUGUACCAUAUUAAUUCUUAAAACUGGAUCAUUUAAAAUUAGUUAGAUUUAAUGAGUUGUUCCACUGUUUCCAAAUAAGUAGUUUAAGCCCUUAUUGCGUUCUGGAGCUUAUUCUUUCUGCCUUUUUAUGAUUGAUAUAUGCUCUCACAAGCUUAAAUGUAACUAUUGACAUAUAAUCUCAUGGCUCAAAGUCUUAGUUGUUGAAUGUAUUAAAAUUUAUAAGAUCUGGAGUUUGCACUAUAAUUUCAUCCAGCGGUAUUCCCAGUAACUGAAUGUUAAGAGCAUUGACGAUCCCAGGCUAUACAUUCAGGUACUGGGAAAUGCUUUUAUCUUGCAGGCCAGUUUUACAUUUAUUUCUCAAUAACAAGAUGACCGUGAACAGGGUAUCAAGGUAUUUGCCUUGGCAUUACUAAUGUCGUGUUCAGAUUACUAAAAGAAGGAUUGAUAGCGGCAUACCUUAACUCGACUGAUGCUUUAACUGCUGCCUCUCUAAGCCUUGAUUAGCCAUGGAGAUACUCAAGUUCCAAAGCCCCAAGUGAGGCUAUCCUUCUAAGAUCCGUUCAUCCCAAUUCAUUAAUUUGUUUGAAAUAUAUAUGUAUAUUCCAAUAUUGCUCAAUCUCCAGCUGGCCUCUAGGUUAUCAGAUGAAAUCCGGUUAAAUUUUAGGGAGGUUGAGUAGGAGUGUUUGGAACUAAAGGCUUUGUUGUUGUUGUUUGAGUAGGAGUAUCUCCCUUUUCUGUAUAAAUUUUGUUGCUAUGAAUAGUUGCAUUGUUAUGUCAGUGAAAAUUUUCUGGGCGUACUAUGUGUUCCUCUAGACUUGGUUGAAAGUAUUCCUUCUGUUAUCCAGUUUCUCACUACGCAUGUUACCUUUGUUGCUGAAUUUUGCCUAUAGUUUAUAUAUAGUAGACUCGCAUGAUUACCUGAUGACUCAUUCACGCAAGAACUAUUGUUAAUUUUUUCCUUUUCUGCAAUGAUGGUCGUAGCCCUUUGAUUCUACCAGCCGCAAAGGAGUGAAGUGUAGAAAAUAUGUCCAUUGUCGUUGAAUUGGUGGGAUUGUCACCAAGUUAGUGCUGCAGAUUUCUAUUUUAGAGCAAGAAGCCAAAUCAUGUAGUUUCAUUGUAAAUCUUGAAAAACUUGUUUAUUGUCACUUCUAUAUCUGUUACAAGCUUUUUUCGUGAUGUGGUACUUGUCAAUCUUGGUUUGCCCUUCCAUUUCAAGUCUGCCCUUAAAUUCCAGCAGACCAAAAAGUUCUUGUUUCUUCAAUUGGUUUCUCAUUCAUGUUUGCACUUCUAUUACUGUACAAUAUUUCAUAAACAUGGCAUUGGUCAUUAUUUGUCCAGUUCCCUUCAAAAAAAAGAGAUGGCUAUAGAGAGUUGAUCCUUCUACAUAACAGAGCAGAGGAGUGGGAACUAUAAACAUGCCUCACUGAAGAGAUGAAAAAUGUUGUGCAAGGCAUUGGUUGUUAAGCUCCUUUAAAAAAUGAAGGAAUUAUAGUGCAUCUGACCUAUAAAGGGGUUGUGAGGGACAAAACACUAUGGAUUCAGAGUAGUGGGAGGGCACAGUUUACCUUGAUUCCAAAGUUCCAGCUUACAUAGCAGAAUUGUAUAGAGAGGAUGCCUGCAUUUUGAAAACUCGGUUACAUAGUUUGAGGCUAUGUUUCUUUCAAUUUUCAUUAUUAAAAGGAUCCUUAUUAUUGCCAAAUUGUCAAUUAUUUUCAAAUAGCUCUUGGUUUGAAAUGGGACCAUGUGCCAUCUGGCGCAAUGGGUACUGUUAUUAUACAUUCUAUUAUUGACAGCAAGCCUUCAUUGUUUUUUAUUGAGGACCCUCGGGUUAAAUUUGUUACCCCAUGGAUUUCCUUUUCAACGCCCACAUUAAUUUAGCUGGUCCCUGCCAUAUGUCCUUGCAAAAUGAAACUAUUUUCAUCGACAACAUGUCUUUAGUAGGUCUCUGCGUCAUUUGGCGCAACGGGUCAACUAGUUGUGAUUAAUUUCACGUGCAUGUAUUACACAGAUUUAAGGGUUCAGAUUUGAAGAGUGUAACUGCCCGGCGGGACAUAAGACUCUAACAGCCAUAUUUGAUUGUGUGCAAAUUCUCUCGAAUUAUGUUUGAUCAUGUGACCAACUUGGCUUGAUUGCUGAUGGAAGAUGAUUUGAUUCCCGUAAUGUGGUCUCUCCAAUAAAGAUGGUCCACCAUCCAAGAAUAUGUGAACAAGUUUUACGACCACUAUGCUUCCGUUUCUUGGCCGAAAUCAAAGUCGGGUUGGAGUCCAAAGUCACAUGGUGUUGGCCGCAGCUUUGUUCCAACAAGUCGAAAAGAAGCCAUUCGGUUUUAGUCAUUAUUGGAUUAAACUGAAUGGCCUACCAAAAUGGUAUCAAGUUGUGGAAUACCUCAAGAAAGGCACCAAGAGGUUGAAGACAAAUGAUGGCUCAAGCUCUCACCAAUCCAUUGGAGUGGAUGAUGAAGAGGAAGAAGUUGUAGGGGAGAAUGAAAGAGCUACCGUGCUAAAUAAUAACUUGAAGAGAUGACAAACGAGUGGGAGAAGGGGAGGUCCGCCCGUGACGCCACGGCGACAAAUAUGUCCACCAUAAAUGAAAAAAAAAUCACAAGGGAGAACAAGAAAGAGGGGAGGCACAAAUUCAUGUUGGAUGCACAAAAAUAAAAGAUGGUGAACAACAAGUUUCAAGCUAAGAGCAACAAGUCGGAAAUUGAGAAGAAAAAGAUAGAGUUUGAGAACUGAGAGGUGUGUAUUGAAUGAGAGCUUGAGAAGGCCCGAACUUUUGUAUCAAUAGAGCUUGAGAAGGAGAUGUUGUAACUUGUUCGACUCAAGGAGGAUUUGAUGAUUA
Triticum aestivum (bread wheat) is the source of this 6226-nucleotide long non-coding RNA. RefSeq lists it as uncharacterized. The record is from RefSeq and is a predicted model, not a curated record. The transcript is spliced from 4 exons. NCBI's taxonomy places the organism in Eukaryota, Viridiplantae, Streptophyta, Magnoliopsida, Poales, Poaceae.